RNAcentral lists this ribosomal RNA (250 nucleotides) under Staphylococcus epidermidis NIH051668. RNAcentral's name for it is "partial 23S ribosomal RNA". It matches the Rfam family "Bacterial large subunit ribosomal RNA", at positions 2674 to 2925 of the family's 2925-position model. The record is from RNAcentral. Lineage: Bacteria; Bacillati; Bacillota; Bacilli; Caryophanales; Staphylococcaceae.
GUCCUUAGUACGAGAGGACCGGGAUGGACAUACCUCUGGUGUACCGAGUUGUCGUGCCAACGGCAUAGCUGGGUAGCUAUGUAUGGACGGGAUAAGUGCUGAAAGCAUCUAAGCAUGAAGCCCCCCUCAAGAUGAGAUUUCCCAACUUCGGUUAUAAGAUCCCUCGAAGAUGACGAGGUUAAUAGGUUCGAGGUGGAAGCGUGGUGACACGUGGAGCUGACGAAUACUAAUCGAUCGAAGACUUAAUCAA